AACGAACGCUGGCGGCAGGCCUAACACAUGCAAGUCGAGCGAGGACUUCGGUCCUAGCGGCGGACGGGUGAGUAACGCGUGGGAACGUUCCCUUUGCUUCGGAAUAGCCCUGGGACACUGGGAGUAAUACCGGAUGAGCCCUUUGGGGGAAAGAUUUAUCGGCGAAGGAUCGGCCCGCGUUGGAUUAGGUAGUUGGUGGGGUAAUGGCCUACCAAGCCGACGAUCCAUAGCUGGUUUGUGAGAAUGAUCAGCCACACUGGGACUGAGACACGGCCCAGACUCCUACGGGAGGCAGGAGUGGGGAAUCGUAGACAAUGGGGGAAACCAUGAUCGAGCCAUGACGCGUGAGCGAUGAAGGCCUUAGGGUUGUAAAGCGCUUUCAGCUGGGAAGAUAAUGACGGUACCAGCAGAAGAAGCCCCGGCUAACUCCGUG
Molecule: ribosomal RNA, 433 nt
Filed under: uncultured bacterium
Lineage: Bacteria
Description: partial 16S ribosomal RNA
Rfam family: Bacterial small subunit ribosomal RNA
Source: RNAcentral